This 402-nucleotide ribosomal RNA is filed under the name bacterium. RNAcentral's name for it is "partial 16S ribosomal RNA". It matches the Rfam family "Bacterial small subunit ribosomal RNA", at positions 355 to 776 of the family's 1533-position model. The record is from RNAcentral.
UGGGGAAUUUUGCACAAUGGGGGAAACCCUGAUGCAGCGACGCCGCGUGAUUUAGAAGGCCUUCGGGUUGUAAAAAUCUUUUCUAUGGGAAGAAAAUGACAGUACCAUAGGAAUAAGGACCGGCUAAUUACGUGCCAGCAGCCGCGGUAAUACGUAAGGUCCGAGCGUUGUCCGGAAUCAUUGGGCGUAAAGGGUACGUAGGCGGGUAAGCAAGUUAGAAGUGAAAUCCUAUAGCUCAACUAUAGUAAGCUUUUAAAACUGCUCAUCUUGAGGUAUGGAAGGGAAAGUGGAAUUCAUAGUGUAGCGGUGAAAUGCGCAGAUAUUAGGAAGAAUACCGGUGGCGAAGGCGACUUUCUGGCCAUAACCUGACGCUGAGGUACGAAAGCGUGGGUAGCAAACAGG